GCGUCUGCCCUUGCAUACCGUAAAUCAUCUCGCACCUUGCAGCUUGCGCAUAAGCGUCAAGUGUAGUGAAGUCUCGCCCACUCUGGUUGUUUUGGCUAGGAAGGGUAGAUGGAAAAGUACCCUGAAAUAAGUAUUUUGUCUAAUAUGGUGUACCUGAAACAAGGCUUGCAAGAGUAUACUCUCCCUGUAAAAAAGAGAGGGUAUAUAUUCAAAGAAAGAGGAGAAAAGUCGAUUUAGAAUCGAACAAAGAUUACUUUGGAUGUUUUUCAUAAAUACAUGGAACAAGGACGACUUAAAUUGUUCUUUACAACCAGUAGGGUCCUGUUACUAGGCGGCAAUUUUGAUUAUCACUCACUAACCAUAUCUUCUGGUCCCUCUCGGUGAAUAUGUUCACCAGAAAAAUAAUCUCCCAAUUCAGUUCUGGCAUAUGAUCGCUUAUAGACCUAGGCAAAACAAUCAUUAGGAAUAUAAGGUCUAUUUUUUUCAGGAAAAGGUGGUCACCAUGGCUCUUAGAACUAGACCACGAGUUCGCAAUAGUGUCAUCUCAAUGAAAAAUAGCAAUAACUAUCAAAGUUGGGGUUUGUAACUGCAUCAAAACAUCCCCUAGCUAUUUGAGGCACGAGCCGGGGAAGACUCAGAUGCCAGGUUCUCUUGCGCUUCAUCUUUGAGAUGAACUACACAACAAUGGACGUGCAGAAAGACACUCUACAACAAAGCUGGUGAGUUCCAGCUACUACUUAAGCUCUGGGUUUUUCUACCCUUAAGCAUGGAGCACCAACAACGUUGCCUUGGUGUGUCGAGACCAACCUGCGAACAAAGGUCCGGUCUUCUCAAUAUGCCGAUGUAGACUUUUCACAUGUUGUAAUCAUCCCGAUGCCUCACAUGCCUACACGUGAUAGAAUUGCAACAAAGUGCUUGCACGGGGAGUUAUGAGAACAUAGAUGGUGUUGCUGGAGCAAGAAGAAGUAUAUAUAGACUGACUACCAAAUAACAUGAAGCAAUAAGUAAGGUACUCCCUAUGUAAACUUUUAUAAGAAGUUUGUAG
This 1045-nucleotide long non-coding RNA is filed under the name Hordeum vulgare. Its description in RNAcentral is "long non-coding RNA (HVUL_LNC011367)". The record is from RNAcentral. Lineage: Eukaryota; Viridiplantae; Streptophyta; Magnoliopsida; Poales; Poaceae.